AGAUGUGCGUCCCUCAGGAAGAAAAGAAAAGAGGCAGAUCGCCUCUCUUGGAUAGAACAGAAAAGAAAAGGAAAAAGAAAGGAGGAGUGAGCUCUUAGUCCCACAAGAAGAAAAAUUGUGAUCUACGAAGAUCAAACGGUCGAAUCUUCAAUCCGUUUUCGGAAACAUGAUUCUUGCACUCGGAUCUACGUUCUUACCGAUUGUUUUAAGGUAUUUGAGCUUAUUGGAGCUUACUUGAGGCAACCCAAACUUUGGGUUGAGGUUUGGUGAAUUUGGGCACACCUGACUUAGAGGAGGACCUCGUAGCUGCGUAUUUGGGAUAUUACGAUUGAAGCACACCGCGACAAUCAUAAUGAGUUGGACUAUGGAGUUCACUCUUUUGGGGUAUUUUGUAUAUGGCUAGUGACAUAGGUGUCACAUAUUCUUUUGUGUAGCCAUUCUUUUGUAUUAGUGGAUAAUUGUAAGCCUUAAACAAUUAGACAGAUAUAUGGCUCUUUUGUAUGGACCACAUGUAUUUUUAGAUACGCUUUCUGUUAUGAGUUUUAGUGUUAUAAUUA
Long non-coding RNA from Alnus glutinosa, 557 nucleotides. RefSeq lists it as uncharacterized. Lineage: Eukaryota; Viridiplantae; Streptophyta; Magnoliopsida; Fagales; Betulaceae. The record is from RefSeq and is a predicted model, not a curated record. The transcript is spliced from 3 exons.